CUGAGGUCCUGGAACAAGCAAAUACAUUAGUGAUAAAAUGCAUACAAAGGUCAGGGCUUAACAAAGCUAACUGAGUGAUCCAAUUAUGUUUGAUUCAGAGUCCAACCACACUCAUCACUAUGAAGUUCAACCAGUCUACGACUCGUGCUGGAUGCAGCUGUACAUUCUGUGUCCAGUUUUUGCAGCUGUCUCCUCUCUCCUCUCUUCUUUUGUGGUUUAUAAAUGCUGUCAUAAAAAAGCUACAGAACCUCAAGUCACUCAGCAAAGACCUGACAACAGAACACUGAAUCAGGUAAUUUACAGCAGAGUAUUUUUAACAAUUAAUGAUAAUGCAUCAUAAUAUUAUAAUAAUGAAGUACAAUCACUGAUAACCUUUAGGAUGAAGAUGUGUGCUAUGCUGCUCUGGAAAUCCGCCAAGCAUCACAGAGAGCAAAGAAGACAACUCAGAGUUACGACAGCAGCACCUAUUCUGCCAUUAAAACUUCUAGGGUAUAGGGAUAUAAAUAUAUAAUAUAUAUAUUUUUAUAUAUAUUUGCUUUUUUUUUGUUGUUUUUUUUAUGCAGUGCUUUUGCUUUGUUUUGCUUUGCUUUGCAUUGUGAUGGUAAAAAGCAGUAAUCUUCAAAAAGUGAAAAGUUCUGGAUGUGAUAAAUCAAUUCUAUAUACAAUAAUGAGAGUUCUCUUAAUCUACCUAUGCACCUUAAACAUGAAAGUAAAUAAACAUAAGAAACCUAGUUGUUUCUGAGCACUGUGCUUCAGACUUUUUUUUUUUUGUUUUGAUUGAAAUCGAUCUGUAACAUUUCAGAAUGGUUGUGGAGGCUGUGUAUCGAUAAUAAGACAAGGUAGCUGUUUUCAAGUAAUUUCCUGUUUUUAUCUCAAGUUAGCCAUCAGCUCCAAACCUUUAGCAAUAGAGUUACCAAAAGAAUUCCAAGUAUUUGAUGGAUGGAUGCUGUAGUGUAGAGAAUAUCAAGGACAUUUUACACAAAAAGCAAAAAACAGUUACAAUUUAAUCACCCUACUUAGCUUGCUUAUUUAAAAAUGGCCCUCCUGCACUUUUUCACAGUUACACAACAAUCAUGUACAAGUGUGAACAGUUCACAGGAAAACCACCAUAUGACAAACAAACCCUCACACAGCAGCAGGGCUUAACACCUAAACUGAACAUGCAUCGUGCAGAGUUUAUAGGAAGAGAAACUAUUUUAGAUAGGUGACAAUAACUGAGAGCCACAAAUGCGCACACUCUCCUGGUCUCAGAAGUGGUUAAAAUCCGGUAACUAGAAAGUGUUGACCUAGGCUUCACUGACUUCACUGGUUUGGCUAAUUGAAGUUGAAGCUAUAAUAUUAUUAAAGCUAAUAAUAGAAUUCAGCUUUUCU
Molecule: long non-coding RNA, 1371 nt
Filed under: Mastacembelus armatus (zig-zag eel)
Lineage: Eukaryota; Metazoa; Chordata; Actinopteri; Synbranchiformes; Mastacembelidae
Description: lncRNA (ENSMAMG00000028656.1)
Source: RNAcentral